UACGUAGGGUGCGAGCGUUAAUCGGAAUUACUGGGCGUAAAGCGUGCGCAGGCGGUUUUGUAAGCCAGAUGUGAAAGCCCCGGGCUUAACCUGGGAAUGGCAUUUGGGACUGCAAGGCUUGAGUGCGGCAGAGGAGACUGGAAUUCCUGGUGUAGCAGUGAAAUGCGUAGAUAUCAGGAGGAAUACCGAUGGCGAAGGCAGGUCUCUGGGCUGACCCUGACGGUCAUGCACGAAAGCGUGGGGAGCAAACAGG
This 253-nucleotide ribosomal RNA is filed under the name uncultured bacterium. Its description in RNAcentral is "partial 16S ribosomal RNA". It matches the Rfam family "Bacterial small subunit ribosomal RNA", at positions 524 to 776 of the family's 1533-position model. The record is from RNAcentral.